RNAcentral lists this small nucleolar RNA (81 nucleotides) under Triticum aestivum (bread wheat). RNAcentral's name for it is "Small nucleolar RNA U31b". It matches the Rfam family "Small nucleolar RNA U31b". Lineage: Eukaryota; Viridiplantae; Streptophyta; Magnoliopsida; Poales; Poaceae. RNAcentral also lists the same sequence under 1 other name. The record is from Rfam by way of RNAcentral.
AAGGAUGAUCAUAUUUGCCACCCCAAUCUUAGGAACCACUUAGGUGGGCCUGUGUUGUUGAUAUACUUCUGAAUCUGACUC